GUACACACCGCCCGUCGCUCCUACCGAUGGAACGAUCAGGUGAAAUCGGUGGACUUCCCAACUUCCGCAAGGCUGUUGGGGAGGAAGUCGAGUAAACCUUGUCGUUUGUAGGAAGGAGAAGUCGUAACAAGGUUUCCGUAGGUGAACCUGCAGAAGGAUCA
This 161-nucleotide ribosomal RNA is filed under the name uncultured eukaryote. RNAcentral's name for it is "partial small subunit ribosomal RNA". It matches the Rfam family "Eukaryotic small subunit ribosomal RNA", at positions 1662 to 1828 of the family's 1831-position model. The record is from RNAcentral.